This 500-nucleotide ribosomal RNA is filed under the name uncultured bacterium. RNAcentral's name for it is "partial 16S ribosomal RNA". It matches the Rfam family "Bacterial small subunit ribosomal RNA", at positions 30 to 523 of the family's 1533-position model. The record is from RNAcentral.
AUUGAACGCUGGCGGCAUGCUUUACACAUGCAAGUCGAACGGUAACAGGGUGCUUGCACCGCUGACGAGUGGCGAACGGGUGAGUAAUGCGUCGGAACGUGCCGAGUAGUGGGGGAUAACGCAGCGAAAGUUGUGCUAAUACCGCAUACGUACUGAGGUAGAAAGUGGGGGACCUUCGGGCCUCACGCUAUUCGAGCGGCCGACGUCUGAUUAGGUAGUUGGUGGGGUAAAGGCUCACCAAGCCGACGAUCUGUAGCUGGUCUGAGAGGACGACCAGCCACACUGGGACUGAGACACGGCCCAGACUCCUACGGGAGGCAGCAGUGGGGAAUUUUGGACAAUGGGCGAAAGCCUGAUCCAGCCAUGCCGCGUGCAGGAUGAAGGCCUUCGGGUUGUAAACUGCUUUUGUACGGAACGAAAAGGUUUGGGCUAAUAAGCUGAGCUCAUGACGGUACCGUAAGAAUAAGCACCGGCUAACUGCGUGCCAGCAGCCGCAGUAA